This 1426-nucleotide ribosomal RNA is filed under the name uncultured bacterium. Its description in RNAcentral is "bacterial SSU rRNA". It matches the Rfam family "Bacterial small subunit ribosomal RNA". The record is from RNAcentral.
GGUGAACGCUGGCGGCGUGCUUGACACAUGCAAGUCGAACGGUAUGUGGCAACACAUAGAGUGGCGAACGGGUGAGUAACACGUGGGAACGUACCAUCUGCAGGGGGAUAACUGACCGAAAGGACAGCUAAUACCGCAUAAGUCCGGAAGGAGAAAGGUGCAAUAGCAUCGGCAGAAGAGCGGCCCGCGGUCCAUCAGCUAGUUGGUGAGGCAAUGGCUCACCAAGGCGACGAUCCGUAGCUGGUCUGAGAGGAUGAUCAGCCACACUGGGACUGAGACACUGCCCAGACUCCUACGGGAGGCAGCAGUGAGGAAUAUUGGUCAAUGGACGAGAGUCUGAACCAGCCAAGUCGCGUGAAGGAAGACGGCCCUACGGGUUGUAAACUUCUUUUGUAAGGGAAUAAAUAGUCUUACGUGCUAAGACGUUGCAGGUACCUUACGAAUAAGGAUCGGCUAACUCCGUGCCAGCAGCCGCGGUAAUACGGAGGAUCCGAGCGUUAUCCGGAUUUAUUGGGUUUAAAGGGUGCGUAGGCGGCCUAUUAAGUCAGGGGUGAAAUGGUCCGGCUCAACCGGAUCAUGCGGUUGAAACUGGAUGACUGGAGUGCUGGAGAGGCAAGUGGAAUUCCCAGUGUAGCGGUGAAAUGCGUAGAUAUUGGGAAGAACACCGGUGGCGAAGGCGACUUGCUGGCCAGCAACUGACGCUGAGGCGCGAAAGCCAGGGGAGCAAACGGGNAUUAGAUACCCCGGUAGUCCUGGCCGUAAACGAUGAAUGCUAGGUGUGGGCAUCGAGAGGUGUCCGUGCCGGAGCUAACGCGAUGAGCAUUCCGCCUGGGGAGUACGAUCGCAAGAUUGAAACUCAAAGGAAUUGACGGGGGCCCGCACAAGCGGUGGAGCACGUGGUUUAAUUCGAUGCAAACCGAAGAACCUUACCUGGGUUUGACAUGUACGUAGUAGUGAGCUGAAAGGCGAGCGACGAAGGAUUCGUCCGGAGAGCGUACACAGGUGCUGCAUGGCUGUCGUCAGCUCGUGUCGUGAGAUGUUGGGUUAAGUCCCGCAACGAGCGCAACCCCUGCUGCCAGUUGCCAUCGGGUAAAGCCGGGCACUCUGGCGGGACCGCCGGCGACAAGCUGGAGGAAGGCGGGGAUGACGUCAAGUCAUCAUGGCCCUUAUGUCCAGGGCGACACACGUGCUACAAUGGUCGGUACAGAGGGAAGCGAGCCUGCGAAGGCAAGCGGAUCCCAGAAAGCCGGCCCCAGUUCAGAUUGAAGUCUGCAACCCGACUUCAUGAAGCCGGAAUCGCUAGUAAUCGCGGAUCAGCCAAGCCGCGGUGAAUACGUUCCCGGGCCUUGUACACACCGCCCGUCACACCACCCGAGUUGGGUGCACCCGAAGCCGGUGGCUGAACCCGUAAGGGACAGAGCCGUCG